CAGCACCUCAAGUGGUCAGGAUGAUUAUUGGGCCUAAAGCAUCCGUAGCCGGCGCUGUAAGUUUUCGGUUAAAUCUGUACGCUCAACGUACAGGCUCCCGGGAAUACUGCAGCGCUAGGGAGUGGGAGAGGUAGACGGUACUCGGUAGGAAGGGGUAAAAUCCUUUGAUCUAUUGAUGACCACCUGUGGCGAAGGCGGUCUACCAGAACACGUCCGACGGUGAGGGAUGAAAGCUGGGGGAGCAAACCGGAUUAGAUACCCGAGUAGUCC
RNAcentral lists this ribosomal RNA (270 nucleotides) under uncultured archaeon. RNAcentral describes it as "partial 16S ribosomal RNA". It matches the Rfam family "Archaeal small subunit ribosomal RNA", at positions 477 to 747 of the family's 1478-position model. The record is from RNAcentral.